Molecule: ribosomal RNA, 994 nt
Filed under: Prevotella nigrescens
Lineage: Bacteria; Pseudomonadati; Bacteroidota; Bacteroidia; Bacteroidales; Prevotellaceae
Description: bacterial SSU rRNA
Rfam family: Bacterial small subunit ribosomal RNA
Source: RNAcentral
GAUGAACGCUGGCUACAGGCUUAACACAUGCAAGUCGUGGGGAAACGGCAUUAUGUGCUUGCACAUUCUGGACGUCGACCGGCGCACGGGUGAGUAUCGCGUAUCCAACCUGCCCCUUACUUGGGGAUACCCCGUUGAAAGACGGCCUAAUACCCGAUGUGUUUCAUUGACGGCAUCCGAUAUGAAACAAAGGUUUUCCGGUAAGGGAUGGGGAUGCGUCUGAUUAGCUUGUUGGCGGGGCAACGGCCCACCAAGGCGACGAUCAGUAGGGGUUCUGAGAGGAAGGUCCCCCACAUUGGAACUGAGACACGGUCCAAACUCCUACGGGAGGCAGCAGUGAGGAAUAUUGGUCAAUGGACGCAAGUCUGAACCAGCCAAGUAGCGUGCAGGAUGACGGCCCUAUGGGUUGUAAACUGCUUUUAUGUGGGAAUAAAUUGGCGCACGUGUGCACCAUUGCAUGUACCUCAUGAAUAAGGACCGGCUAAUUCCGUGCCAGCAGCCGCGGUAAUACGGAAGGUCCGGGCGUUAUCCGGAUUUAUUGGGUUUAAAGGGAGUGUAGGCGGUCUGUUAAGCGUGUUGUGAAAUUUAGGUGCUCAACAUUUAACUUGCAGCGCGAACUGUCAGACUUGAGUACACGCAGCGCAGGCGGAAUUCAUGGUGUAGCGGUGAAAUGCUUAGAUAUCAUGAGGAACUCCGAUCGCGAAGGCAGCCUGCGGGAGUGUUACUGACGCUUAAGCUCGAAGGUGCGGGUAUCGAACAGGAUUAGAUACCCUGGUAGUCCGCACAGUAAACGAUGGAUGCCCGCCGUUGGCGCCCUGCGCCUGCGGCCAAGCGAAAGCAUUAAGCAUCCCACCUGGGGAGUACGCCGGCAACGGUGAAACUCAAAGGAUUGACGGGGGCACGCACAAGCGGAGGAACAUGUGGUUUAAUUCGAUGAUACGCGAGGAACCUUACCCGGGGCUUGAAUUGCAGUCGCUGCCCACAGAGACGUGGG